Molecule: unclassified non-coding RNA, 232 nt
Filed under: Hevea brasiliensis (rubber tree)
Lineage: Eukaryota; Viridiplantae; Streptophyta; Magnoliopsida; Malpighiales; Euphorbiaceae
Source: RNAcentral
CCGCCAGCGCCAUCGAUACGGCCUCGGCCAUCACAAGACCUUGAGUCAUGUCGAGAUUGGCGCGCAUCCGCUCGGGAUCGACCUCGAGUCCCUCGGCGAUCUCUGCAAUCGCCUCAAGCGCCCCCGAUGUGACCAGUUGCAGCGUCGGCAAUGUCGGCCAUUCGGCAUGCCAGGGGCCGGCGCUGCGCUCAUGAUCCUGAACCUGAGCGGCCAUGAUCGUCGCUGCAAGAUU